UGGGGAAUUUUCUGCAAUGGGCGAAAGCCUGACGGAGCAAUGCCGCGUGGAGGUGGAAGGCCUACGGGUCGUCAACUUCUUUUCUCGGAGAAGAAACAAUGACGGUAUCUGAGGAAUAAGCAUCGGCUAACUCUGCGCCAG
This 141-nucleotide ribosomal RNA is filed under the name uncultured bacterium. Its description in RNAcentral is "partial 16S rRNA". It matches the Rfam family "Bacterial small subunit ribosomal RNA", at positions 355 to 511 of the family's 1533-position model. The record is from RNAcentral.